RNAcentral lists this unclassified non-coding RNA (253 nucleotides) under uncultured Rhodospirillales bacterium. Its description in RNAcentral is "contains 16S-23S intergenic spacer region". It matches the Rfam family "Bacterial small subunit ribosomal RNA", at positions 524 to 776 of the family's 1533-position model. The record is from RNAcentral. Lineage: Bacteria; Pseudomonadati; Pseudomonadota; Alphaproteobacteria; Rhodospirillales.
UACGUAGGGUUCGAGCGUUGUUCGGAUUUACUGGGCGUAAAGGGCACGCAGGCGGUCUUGCCAGUCAGGGGUGAAAGCCCGGGGCUCAACCCCGGAACUGCCUCUGAUACUGCAGGACUAGAGACUAGGAGAGGGUGGUGGAAUUCCCAGUGUAGAGGUGAAAUUCGUAGAUAUUGGGAGGAACACCAGAGGCGAAGGCGGCCACCUGGACUAGAUCUGACGCUCAGGUGCGAAAGCGUGGGGAGCAAACCGG